UACGAAGGAUGCAAGCGUUAUCCGGAUUUAUUGGGUUUAAAGGGUGCGUAGGCGGACUUAUAAGUCAGUGGUGAAAUCUCGUUGCUUAACAACGAACGUGCCAUUGAUACUGUAGGUCUUGAGUACAGAUGCCGUUGGCGGAAUGUGUCAUGUAGCGGUGAAAUGCAUAGAUAUGACACAGAACACCGAUUGCGAAGGCAGCUGACGAAACUGUAACUGACGCUGAGGAGCGAAAGCGUGGGGAGCGAACAGG
This 253-nucleotide ribosomal RNA is filed under the name uncultured bacterium. RNAcentral's name for it is "partial 16S ribosomal RNA". It matches the Rfam family "Bacterial small subunit ribosomal RNA", at positions 524 to 776 of the family's 1533-position model. The record is from RNAcentral.